RNAcentral lists this ribosomal RNA (1337 nucleotides) under uncultured archaeon. RNAcentral describes it as "16S ribosomal RNA". It matches the Rfam family "Archaeal small subunit ribosomal RNA". The record is from RNAcentral.
GGGUUCGAUUAAGCCAUGCGAGUCGAGAGGGUUCGGCCCUCGGCGUACUGCUCAGUAACACGUGGAUAACCUGCCCUAGGGAAGGGGAUAACCCCGGGAAACUGGGGAUAAUACCCUAUAGAUUACAGAUGCUGGAAUGCCCUGUAAUCCAAAGUUCCGACGCCCUAGGAUGGAUCUGCGGCCGAUUAGGUUGUUGUUGGGGUAAUGGCCCAACAAGCCCGUAAUCGGUACGGGUUGUGGGAGCAAGAGCCCGGAGUUGGAUUCUGAGACACGAAUCCAGGCCCUACGGGGCGCAGCAGGCGCGAAAACUUUACAAUGCGGGCAACCGUGAUAAGGGAACCUCGAGUGCCUGUAAAUGCAGGCUGUUCAGGUGCCUAAAACACACCUGAAGAAAGGGCCGGGCAAGACCGGUGCCAGCCGCCGCGGUAAUACCGGCGGCUCGAGUGGUGGCCGCUUUUAUUGGGCUUAAAGCGUUCGUAGCUGGGUUGUUAAGUCUCUUGGGAAAUCUGGCGGCUUAACCGUCAGGCGUCUAAGGGAUACUGGCAAUCUUGGAACCGGGAGAGGUGAGAGGUACUUCGGGGGUAGGAGUGAAAUCCUGUAAUCCUCGAGGGACCACCUGUGGCGAAGGCGCCUCACCAGAACGGCUUCGACAGUGAGGGACGAAAGCUGGGGGAGCAAACCGGAUUAGAUACCCGGGUAGUCCCAGCCGUAAACUAUGCGCGUUAGGUGUAUCGGUGACCACGAGUUACCGAGGUGCCGAAGGGAAACCGUGAAACGUGCCGCCUGGGAAGUACGGUCGCAAGGCUGAAACUUAAAGGAAUUGGCGGGGGAGCACCACAACAGGUGGAGCCUGCGGUUUAAUUGGACUCAACGCCGGGAAGCUCACCGGAUAAGACAGCAGAAUGAUUGCCGGGCUGAAGACUCUGCAUGACUAGCUGAGAGGAGGUGCAUGGCCGUCGUCAGUUCGUACUGUGAAGCAUCCUGUUAAGUCAGGCAACGAGCAAGACCCACGCCAACAGUUGCCAGCAUGGUCUCCGGACUGAUGGGGACACUGUUGGGACCGCCUCUGCUAAAGAGGAGGAAGGAAUGGGCAACGGUAGGUCAGCAUGCCCCGAAUUAUCCGGGCUACACGCGGGCUACAAUGGGCAGGACAAUGGGCAUCGACACCGAAAGGUGAAGGCAAUCUUCUAAACCUGUCCUUAGUUCGGAUUGUGGGCUGCAACUCGCCCACAUGAAGCUGGAAUCUGUAGUAAUCGCGUUUCAAAAUAACGCGGUGAAUUUGUCCCUGCUCCUUGCACACACCGCCCGUCAAACCACCCGAGUGGGGUUGGAUGAGG